Molecule: unclassified non-coding RNA, 460 nt
Filed under: Hevea brasiliensis (rubber tree)
Lineage: Eukaryota; Viridiplantae; Streptophyta; Magnoliopsida; Malpighiales; Euphorbiaceae
Source: RNAcentral
UUUGAUAUUCACACUCUUGGGUCUGUAAUAGUCUUCAAUUAAAUUUCGCAAGGUUAUUAUAAAAAUGGACUACAAGGGUGUGGCCAAAUUUAUUAAUACUUUGGAAAAAUGAUGAAUAUAAUGAAGUUUGUUCUCUUGAAAUCAUAUACGCCAUAAGCGAGUUUGUGAUUCAGUUUAGAGAGUUAUAAAUUCAACUGCUCAUUAACUAGCAAAGUUCAGAUUUUUUAUCUAAUUGUCACUUCGGUAUGGUCAUCCUUCCUAUUGCUUGGAACCAAACUCUAGUAAAAUGUUUCUAUUACUUAUUUUUUCUGUUAACCCUUAACCACGAUCACUUUAUUAAGGAACCAUCUCCAAGAUUGGACAAUAUAAGUACAAAAUUCUAGGGCCCCCCAUGGAAAAUGAUAGAAGCAAUCUAAUUUACAUACUUGUGCAUGAUAUUGGCUAAUUACAUGCCUUACCU